GCGUAAGAACUUGCCUCUUAGACCGGGACAACAUCUGGAAACGGAUGCUAAUACCGGAUAUUAUGGUUUCUUCGCAUGGAGGAAUCAUGAAAGCUACAUGCGCUAAGAGAGAGCUUUGCGUCCCAUUAGCUCGUUGGUGAGGUAACGGCCCACCAAGGCAAUGAUGGGUAGCCGGCCUGAGAGGGUGAACGGCCACAAGGGGACUGAGACACGGCCCUUACUCCUACGGGAGGCAGCAGUGGGGAAUAUUGGACAAUGGACCACAAGUCUGAUCCAGCAAUUCUGUGUGCACGAUGACGUUUUUCGGAAUGUAAAGUGCUUUCAGUCGGGAAGAAGUCAGUGACGGUACCGACAGAAGAAGCGACGGCUAAAUACGUGCCAGCAGCCGCGGUAAUACGUAUGUCGCAAGCGUUAUCCGGAUUUAUUGGGCGUAAAGCGCGUCUAGGCGGCAAGGAAAGUCUGAUGUGAAAAUGCGGAGCUCAACUCCGUAUGGCGUUGGAAACUGCCUUACUAGAGUACUGGAGAGGUAGGCGGAACUACAAGUGUAGAGGUGAAAUUCGUAGAUAUUUGUAGGAAUGCCGAUGGGGGAGCCAGCCUACUGGACAGAUACUGACGCUAAAGCGCGAAAGCGUGGGUAGC
This 639-nucleotide ribosomal RNA is filed under the name uncultured Fusobacterium sp. RNAcentral's name for it is "bacterial SSU rRNA". It matches the Rfam family "Bacterial small subunit ribosomal RNA", at positions 115 to 769 of the family's 1533-position model. The record is from RNAcentral. Lineage: Bacteria; Fusobacteriati; Fusobacteriota; Fusobacteriia; Fusobacteriales; Fusobacteriaceae.